UGGCAGGACUCUCUACAGUAAUACCGGGCGGCUUGGAUUUAUAAUCAGAGCAUUUCACCGCAGUGUGGCACUUCACAAAACCUACCAAACCACCGUCCCUCCUUCAAAAUGAUGGAAGAAGUAUUGGGAAAAUCCC
Molecule: long non-coding RNA, 136 nt
Filed under: Calidris pygmaea (Spoon-billed sandpiper)
Lineage: Eukaryota; Metazoa; Chordata; Aves; Charadriiformes; Scolopacidae
Description: lncRNA (ENSCPGG00000009900.1)
Source: RNAcentral